Molecule: ribosomal RNA, 493 nt
Filed under: uncultured bacterium
Lineage: Bacteria
Description: bacterial SSU rRNA
Rfam family: Bacterial small subunit ribosomal RNA
Source: RNAcentral
AAAUGAAUAGACGGGGACCCGCACAAGCGGUGGAGCAUGUGGUUUAAUUCGAAGCAACGCGAAGAACCUUACCUGAUCUUGACAUCCCACUGACCGGACAGUAAUGUGUCCUUUCCUUCGGGACAGUGGUGACAGGUGGUGCAUGGUUGUCGUCAGCUCGUGUCGUGAGAUGUUGGGUUAAGUCCCGCAACGAGCGCAACCCUUAUCUUUAGUAGCCAGCAGUAAGAUGGGCACUCUAGAGAGACUGCCAGGGAUAACCUGGAGGAAGGUGGGGAUGACGUCAAAUCAUCAUGCCCCUUAUGACCAGGGCUACACACGUGCUACAAUGGCGUAAACAAAGAGAAGCAAACACGUGAGUGCAAGCAAAUCUCAAAAAUAACGUCUCAGUUCGGAUUGUAGUCUGCAACUCGACUACAUGAAGCUGGAAUCGCUAGUAAUCGCGAAUCAGAAUGUCGCGGUGAAUACGUUCCCGGGUCUUGCACACACCGCCCGU